GACGAACGCUGGCGGCGUGCCUAAUACAUGCAAGUAGAACGCUGAAGCGAGGAGCUUGCUCUACUUGGGUGAGUAACGAACGGGUGAGUAACGAGUAGGUAACCUGCCUUGUAGCGGUGGCUAACUAUUGGAAACGAUAGCUAAUACCGCGUAACACUGGAUGACGCAUGGCGUUUGUUUGAAAGGGGCAAUUGCUCCACUACAAGAUGGACCUGCGUUGUAUUAGCUAGUAGGUGAGGUAAUGGCUCACCUAGGCGACGAUACAUAGCCGACCUGAGAGGGUGAUCGGCCACACUGGGACGGGGACAGGGCCCAUACUACUGCGGGAGGGAGCAGUAGGGAAGCGUCGGCAAUGGGGGCGACCCUGACCGAGCAACGCCGCGUGAGUGAAGAAGGGUGUCGGAGCGGAAAGCUCUGUUGUAAGUCAAGAACGGGUGUGAGAGUGGAAAGUUCAUACUGUGACGGUAGCUUACCAGAAAGGGCCGGCUAACUACGUG
This 497-nucleotide ribosomal RNA is filed under the name uncultured bacterium. RNAcentral's name for it is "partial 16S ribosomal RNA". It matches the Rfam family "Bacterial small subunit ribosomal RNA", at positions 28 to 507 of the family's 1533-position model. The record is from RNAcentral.